UGUGCCAGCAGCCGCGGUAAUUCCAGCUCCAAGGGCGUAUGCUAAUGCUGUUGCUGUUAAAAAGUUCGUAGUUGGAUUUGGAUCGACUCUGUAUCGGAAAGCCACCUGCUGUCCUCGUGAUGGUGCGGUGUGCUGACUGUUACGCUUGGAGGCUAUCAUAUCGACCAAACGGUUGUUGACUGUCUGUUCCGGAUUGACUCUGUCAGAAACGAAUUGCGGUCGCUACAAUGGCCUUUGGUUGUGACACCGAGAACAAAACAGCGUGCUCAAGGCAUCUGCGUAGAUGAUAAAGCUUGUCAUGUCAAGGAACCGACCGGUUGGCUCGUCAUUUGCUGGUUUGUGCAGCCGAAACGGGGAAUGUGACUUGUGUAUGAUGUUUGUCAGCUGGACUGUGUUGUAACCCUCGGGUUGUGGCACUGCUCUGGCUUUCAAAAUCCAUGCUGGGUCAGCGAUAUUAACAGAGGUCAAUGGAGCAGUCAGUAUUCAGUGACGAGGGGUGAAAUCCUUAGACUCACUGAAGACUAACCGAGGCGAAGGCAUUCUGCUAAGCGGCCUUCAUUAAUCAAGAACUAGAGUGCAGGGAUCGAAGAUGAUUAGAAACCAUCGUAGUCUGGCACUGUAAACUGUGCAAACCAUGGAUCAGUCGUGGGUGCAACGCUGCUUCUGUCACGUUGCGGGCAAUUUGUACUCCUCACCAUGUGGUGAUAUUUUCAUUCUGUCUUCAUACUACCGCGAAAGCUGAGUAUUCCUGUUCAGGGGGAAGUACAUUCGCAAGUGUGAAACUUAAAGGAAUUGACGGAACGACACCACCAGGUGUGGAUGCUGCGGCUUAAUUUGACUCAACACUGCGCAUGUUACCAGAUCAUUAGGUAUGGAGGAUCGACAGAUUGACAGCUCUUUCCCGAUUAUGCUAAGGGUGGUGCAUGGCCGCUCCUGGUUGGUGGAGUGAUUUGUCUGGUUGAUUCCGGUAACGAACGAGAUCCCGGCCCCUCGAUUGUGGAGGAAAAGUGACUGCAUUCCAUCGGCGUGUAACUAGAGACCCUCUUCUUUGAGGGCCUUCUGGUGAGAUGGAACCCAAACGCUCGAGGACAGUGUGUAAACUCGGAUCAAUAUUUUUAUGCAGCACACCGAAGUGGAGGGUCAAUAGCAGGUCUGUGAUGCCCA
This 1164-nucleotide ribosomal RNA is filed under the name uncultured eukaryote. RNAcentral describes it as "bacterial SSU rRNA". It matches the Rfam family "Eukaryotic small subunit ribosomal RNA", at positions 563 to 1473 of the family's 1831-position model. The record is from RNAcentral.